RNAcentral lists this ribosomal RNA (405 nucleotides) under uncultured bacterium. Its description in RNAcentral is "partial 16S ribosomal RNA". It matches the Rfam family "Bacterial small subunit ribosomal RNA", at positions 30 to 526 of the family's 1533-position model. The record is from RNAcentral.
AUUGAACGCUGGCGGCAGGCUUAACACAUGCAAGUCGAGCGAGUGGCGGACGGGAGAGUUAUGUGUGGGGAUCGGGCUUAUGGAGGGGGAUAACUACGGGAAACUGUAGCUAAUACCGUCUUCCAUAGGAUGAGCCCAAGUGGGAUUAGGUUGUUGGUGAGGUAAAGGCUCACCAAGCCGACGAUCUCUAGCUGGUCUGAGAGGAUGACCAGCAACACUGGGACUGAGACACGGCCCAGACUCCUACGGGAGGUAGCAGUGGGGAAUAUUGCACAAUGGGGGCAAGCUGAUGCAGCCAUGCCGCGCGCAUGAAGAAGGCCUUCGGGUUGUAAGGUACUUUCUGUCGGGAGGCGUUAACGACAGAAUAAGAACCGGCUAACUCAGUGCAAGCAGCCGCGGUAAUAC